CAAUAGCGUAUAUUAAAGUUGUUGCGGUUAAAAAGCUCGUAGUUGGAUUUCUGCUGAGAACGACCGGUCCGCCCUCUGGGUGUGUAUCUGGCUCUUUCUUGGCAUCUUCUUGGAGAACGUUGCUGCACUUGACUGUGUGGAGCGCUACCCAGGACUUUUACUUUGAGGAAAUUAGAGUGUUUCAAGCAGGCAUACGCCUUGAAUACAUUAGCAUGGAAUAAUAAGAUAGGACCUCGGUUCUAUUUUGUUGGUUUCUAGAGCUGAGGUAAUGAUUAAUAGGGAUAGUUGGGGGCAUUCGUAUUUAACUGUCAGAGGUGAAAUUCUUGGAUUUAUGAAAGACGAACUUCUGCGAAAGCAUUUGCCAAGGAUGUUUUCAUUA
This 379-nucleotide ribosomal RNA is filed under the name uncultured eukaryote. Its description in RNAcentral is "partial 18S ribosomal RNA". It matches the Rfam family "Eukaryotic small subunit ribosomal RNA", at positions 592 to 975 of the family's 1831-position model. The record is from RNAcentral.